AUUGAACGCUGGCGGCAGGCCUAACACAUGCAAGUCGAACGGUAACAGGAAACAGCUUGCUGUUUCGCUGACGAGUGGCGGACGGGUGAGUAAUGUCUGGGAAACUGCCUGAUGGAGGGGGAUAACUACUGAAAACGGUAGCUAAUACCGCAUAACGUCGCAAGACCAAAGAGGGGGACCUUCGGGCCUCUUGCCAUCGGAUGUGCCCAGAUGGGAUUAGCUAGUAGGUGGGGUAACGGCUCACCUAGGCGACGAUCCCUAGCUGGUCUGAGAGGAUGACCAGCCACACUGGAACUGAGACACGGUCCAGACUCCUACGGGAGGCAGCAGUGGGGAAUAUUGCACAAUGGGCGCAAGCCUGAUGCAGCCAUGCCGCGUGUAUGAAGAAGGCCUUCGGGUUGUAAAGUACUUUCAGCGGGGAGGAAGGGAGUAAAGUUAAUACCUUGGCUCAUUGACGUUACCCGCAGAAGAAGCACCGGCUAACUCCGUG
This 490-nucleotide ribosomal RNA is filed under the name uncultured bacterium. Its description in RNAcentral is "partial 16S ribosomal RNA". It matches the Rfam family "Bacterial small subunit ribosomal RNA", at positions 30 to 507 of the family's 1533-position model. The record is from RNAcentral.